ACAGUCUGAAAAUCACCUGCGGUCUCCCGUGGCCCCCGGUGAGAUAACCGUGCCGACAGCAUAGCGAACACCGAAGCUGAUUGCCCACGGCGUCGCUGUGUGGGGAAUGAAACCCGUGUUCCUACAGCG
Callipepla squamata (scaled quail) is the source of this 129-nucleotide small nucleolar RNA. It matches the Rfam family "Small nucleolar RNA ACA64". NCBI's taxonomy places the organism in Eukaryota, Metazoa, Chordata, Aves, Galliformes, Odontophoridae. The record is from Rfam.